This 69-nucleotide transfer RNA is filed under the name Pseudomyrmex gracilis. RNAcentral's name for it is "tRNA-Phe". The record is from RNAcentral. Lineage: Eukaryota; Metazoa; Arthropoda; Insecta; Hymenoptera; Formicidae.
AUUUAAAUAGCUUAUACAAUAAAGUUUAGUACUGAAGAUACUAGGAAAAUAUUUAAAUAUUUUUAAAUG